GUGGGGAAUAUUGCACAAUGGGCGAAAGCCUGAUGCAGCAACGCCGCGUGAGGGACGACGGCCUUCGGGUUGUAAACCUCUUUUAGUAGGGAAGAAGCGAAAGUGACGGUACCUGCAGAAAAAGCACCGGCUAACUACGUGCCAGCAGCCGCGGUAAUACGUAGGGUGCAAGCGUUAUCCGGAAUUAUUGGGCGUAAAGAGCUCGUAGGCGGUCUGUCGCGUCUGCAGUGAACACUGGAGGCUCAACCUCCAGCCUGCAGUGGGUACGGGCAGACUAGAGUGCGGUAGGGGAGAUUGGAAUUCCUGGUGUAGCGGUGGAAUGCGCAGAUAUCAGGAGGAACACCGAUGGCGAAGGCAGAUCUCUGGGCCGUAACUGACGCUGAGGAGCGAAAGCGUGGGGAGCGAACAGGAUUAGAAACCCGGGUAGUCC
RNAcentral lists this ribosomal RNA (430 nucleotides) under uncultured bacterium. RNAcentral's name for it is "partial 16S ribosomal RNA". It matches the Rfam family "Bacterial small subunit ribosomal RNA", at positions 354 to 796 of the family's 1533-position model. The record is from RNAcentral.